Molecule: long non-coding RNA, 2668 nt
Filed under: Salmo salar (Atlantic salmon)
Lineage: Eukaryota; Metazoa; Chordata; Actinopteri; Salmoniformes; Salmonidae
Description: lncRNA (ENSSSAG00000090147.1)
Source: RNAcentral
AUUGAUGGGUAUUGAAGCAACGCCCGCGCGCUAUGUUCUUGAAGCAGUAUUUUGUCAUACAUUCGCGGGAGAACAGCUUUGCAAAGUUUUGUCAGCAACUAUUUAAUUUAAUGUCAUUUAUUUGAGGUACUUGGCAGACGGUAGCUGCGUGUUAUUAGUACAACCUUUACAGUCUGUUGGCUGCACACUACUAGACAGCUAACAACAUAACUGGCAAACUUUUUGAAAGAGGUCUGUCGUUUUGAUCCAAAGUAUCUAAUAUGGCAACCAUGUGUCACUCAAGACGUGCCCUGAUGGAAAUCCCAGCUCCACAGCCGAAAAUUGCAGCUCGACUGAGAAGGUCAUACCUGGAGGUUCUAAGUUCACGCAUAGCUCCAUUCUCAACCACCUCUAGAGGCAGAAACCUGACCAGCAACUCAAAACGUGGGCAUUCAUUGAACCCAGCCAUAUACAGAACAGGGAGUAGUCGGAGUGAGGCCCAAAGUGAGAGAAUGGAAGACAACCAGACACCCCUGUCCAACCAGCAGCUUGUGCAGCUCAUAAGAUCUUUCAUCUUAGUAGAACAGGGGCAGAGGCAGGAGCCCAGAGCCCUCACUACGGACCUGAAACCUUUACAGGAGGACCUGCACCUGAAGAAGACCAAUGUCUAUAGAUCUAUACCCUACUCACGCCUGGGGUCCAACAGAGACGCACACUGUUACAGAAAGGCAUAUCCACACCUGGUGGUGUUUAAAGUUUCCUGCCAGGAGUGGGGUCAGCUGCUGCUGCAGAAUGAGGAGUGGGAGUCUGCUCUGGAGCACGCCCUAGUGGCGUGGAGGUACACCAGUGAACUGCCACAGUGGGACACCAGCAGCCACAACUUGGUGAGGGAACAGUGUUACAGCAUGCUGGCAGCACACUGCAUCACAGCUCUACAGCACUAUUGCCCAGACCCCAGCAAAGCAAUAGAGCUGCACAGGAGGUAAGAGUCCUCCUUUCUUUGGAACCUUUUCACAGGUCAUGCUUGAAUUGUUAACACUGUAUUGGGUUUUAAACUGUUUCCGUUGACUGAGAAUUGGCAGCGUUUGGACGGUAAAAAUGCAUAAAACCAGAUAAAUAAAUAUGCUCUAUAAAAUCACUUUGGCUAUGCAUGGAGGUUGGUUCUGGUUGUUUUUUAAUCGUAUCUCUCUAGUCUGUAAACUCUGCCUGUUAGUCUUGAGCUCUUGCUAUAGCAAACUUUCAACACUGUAUUACCUGAUACCGGUUCACAAAGUGAGUCUGACAGAUGAGGCUCCAGUGUGACCAUUUUACUCGCAUAUGCCCUUAAAUAUUCUGCUGUGCAGCUUGGAAUUCUAAUUUAGGAGCAACAGUGCACCUAGCAACAUUAUGGAUUCUAGCUUUAUUACCUCGUGUAAAUAAGUUGUGUAAAAACACACAGACCGGACAAAUGGAUUAUGGUCAUUGUAGUUAGUUCAGCGCAGAAAACGUGGUAAUUAUGUAGAACAUUGGUCUGUUGGAAAUUACAACCUCCUACUACAUCGCCCAGCCUGUGCUUGAUCAGAUUUUUCUCUAGAGAAACUGCACAUUGGCAUCAGUCUGGCAAAUUGAAAUAUGUUUGGACAUUUGACCGGCACAACUUUUUCCUGAUGGAAACACCGGGAGUAAAAGACACCUACAGUGGCAAGAAAAAGUAUGUGAACCCUUUGGAAAUACUUGGAUUUCUGCAUAAAUUGGUCAUAAAAUUUGAUCUUCAUCUCGGUCACAAAACAAGACAAACACUCUGCUUAAACUAAUCACACAAACAAUUAUGUUUAUGUCUGUAUUGAACACACCGUGUAAACAUUCACAGUGCAGGGUGGGAAAAAGUAUGAACCCUUGAAUUUAAUAACUGGUUGACCCUUUGGCAGCAAUAACCUCAACCAAAUGUUUUCUGUAGUUGCAGAUGAGACCUGCACAAUGGUCAGGAGGAAUUUUGGACAAUUACUCUUUACAAAACUGUUUCAGUUCAGCAAUAUUCUUGAUGUCUGGUGUGAACCACUCUCUUGAGGUUAUGCCACAGCAUCUCAAUCGGGUUGAGGUCAGGACGCUGACUGGGCCACUCCAGAAGGUGUAUUUUCUUCUGUUGAAGCCAUUCUGUUGUUGAUUUACUUCUGUGUUUUGGGUCAUUGUCCUGUUGCAUCACUGGACUUCUGUUGAGCUUUAAUUGGCGGACAGAUAGCCUAACAUUCUCCUGCAAAAUGUCUUGAUAAACUUGGGAAUUCAUUUUUCCGUCGAUAAUGGCAAGCUGUCCAGGCCCUGAGGCAGCAAAGCAGCCCCAAACCAUGGCGCUCCCUCCACCAUACUUUACAGUUUGGAUGAGGUUUUGAUGUUGGUGUGCUGUGCCUUUUUUUUCCUCCACACACAGUGUUGUGUGUUCCUUCCAAACAACUCAACUGUAGUUUCAUCUGUCCACAGAAUAUUUUGCCAGUAGUGCUUUGGAACAUCCAGGUUCACUUUCACAAACUUCAGACGUGCAGCAAUGUUUUUUUGGACAGCAGUGGCUUCUUCCGUGGUGUCCUCCCGUGAAAACCAUUCUUGUUUUACGUAUUGUAGUCUCAUCAACAGAUGAGAAAUUAGCAUGUUCCAGAGAUUUCUGUAAGUCUUUAGCUGAUUCUACUUAACCUCAUUGAGCAUUCUGUGCUGUGCUCUU